RNAcentral lists this ribosomal RNA (253 nucleotides) under uncultured bacterium. Its description in RNAcentral is "partial 16S ribosomal RNA". It matches the Rfam family "Bacterial small subunit ribosomal RNA", at positions 524 to 776 of the family's 1533-position model. The record is from RNAcentral.
UACGUAGGGUGCGAGCGUUAAUCGGAAUUACUGGGCGUAAAGCGUGCGCAGGCGGUUCGCCAAGUCAGGUGUGAAAUCCCCGGGCUUAACCUGGGAAUUGCGCUUGAAACUAGCGGGCUUGAGUGUGGCAGAGGGGGGUGGAAUUCCACGUGUAGCAGUGAAAUGCGCAGAUAUCAGGAGGAACACCAAUGGCGAAGGCAGCUCGCUGGGACGUGACUGACGCUGAGACGCGAAAGCGUGGGGAGCAAACAGG